CACUGCACUCUUGCACCACAAGGUUGCAAGUCAUCAGUUACCGAGCUGCAAUAUCAAAUAUUGUUUGUUGUCGAAACAAACGGUUUAGAUCGUAAGACUUGUUUCCCCUUAACGCGUUGUGACUUUGUAAAUGGAAUCUCCAACUUCCACCGCUCUCGCCGAGCCACUCACCGUCGGUGACUACAACUUGACCGAAAAGCUCGGCGGUGGGACGACGUCGACGGUGUGGAAGGCCAAGCACCGGAACACCAGCCAAGUGGUGGCGCUGAAGCAGGUCCGCCUCUCCAAACUCACUCGCCGCCUCAAAACUUCCUUGGACUGCGAGCUCAACUUCUUGUCCUCCGUCAACCACCCGAACAUUGUUCGCCUUCUAGACGUCUUCCACACUGAAGAUUGUGUCUUCUUGGUCUUGGAGUUUUGUGCCGGGGGAACUCUAUCUUCUUACAUUCACCUACAUGGAAGAGUUCAAGAACAAAAUGCCAGAGAAUUUAUGCAACAGCUUGGAGCUGGUUUGAAGGUGCUUAACUCCCAUCAUGUCGUUCACCGAGAUUUGAAACCAGAGAAUGUCCUGCUUUCAAGCCCUCAGAGUGAUGCAGUGCUUAAAAUUGCUGAUUUUGGUCUCUCCCGAAUGAUGCUUCCAAAUGACCACGUUGAGACAGUUUGCGGGUCUCCGCUAUACAUGGCUCCGGAAGUCCUCCAGUUUCAAGAGUAUGAUGAUAAGGUUGACAUGUGGAGCAUUGGUGUGAUUCUUUUUGAACUUCUGCACGGCUACCCACCCUUUUGUGGUAGAACGAAUGUUCAGCUUCUGCGGAAUAUCCAGUCAUGUACGUGCCUUCCAUUUUCGAAGCUCAUCCUUCCAGGGUUGCACCCUGAUUGUGUUGACAUGUGUUCGAGACUAUUGUCUAUCAAGCCAGAAAACCGUUUGUCUUUUGAUGAGUUUUAUCGGCAUGAGUUCUUAAGAGUGAGAGGGCCCAGCGGUCAAGGCUAUUCAUGAAGAACCCAAAUCCUCCAACUUAUGCAGAAAUGGUGAUUGCGUGGAUGUUGAACUCGCGAAAACUUCUUUUGCAAGAUCGAUUUUCAAGUAUCAAAAUUCAUUCACUUCCAUGUUCUUCGGUAUAAUCACCGUUUCUCUGUGCUAAGCCAUUAUAAUAAGAUUGAAUGAAGUGGUCGCAGAUCUUUCCCUACUGCUUAUAGUUAUUGAUAUGGACUAAUGUUUACUUCUUAUCUUCAUCUAAGUACUGAGAGGUUAGAGCUUCUGGUGGAUCAAUCGCCAUAGGUGGCUGGAUUGGUGUUUUUGUUGGCAUUUCUUCCGUGAUCGAGCAGUGCCGAAAUUCCUAGAACUGUUGAAAUCGAUCUGACGGAUUCUUAAUUGAUCAAACUCUGCUGGGUUAUGUCAGGAAGCUAGAUGACAGCCAAAAAAUCGGAGUCCAUUGUCAUUUGGGUUGCCAUGCUUCUCCCUGUUUCUGUGAAGAGGAAUUGCUUUCAAGCUUUGUAUGAUUUAAUUUCAUGUGAAAAUCGGUAUAACCACGAUGAUUGAUCUCGUGGUAUUUCUUAAUCUGAGUAUCUCAGGCACAAUCCUGCAGCUGCUCCAUUCUUUUCCUUGGUGGGUGUGCAGAAAAGGCUGAAACUAAUGGUACUGGUUUUCUUUGUUUAUAUGUCACGACAUUCUUUCAGUAAAGAAUGUCGAGAUGGCAAUUACAGAAAGCAAGUGACACUGGUUUACUCACUUAAGUGCAAUGGUCUCGGCGACAUACUGGUUUAUCUGGAAUGAAGGGUUACCCAGUUAUCAAAUUAUCAUGACUUUGACACAUUGAGCCAUGGUCUUGCGAUGGGGUCAUCAGUUUGCUGAAUAUGAAGUUGCACAUUUGUUAGACGGAUCAUUUAAUGGCAUUUUGGUAUUCCUGGAUGACAUUGGACAUGUUUUCAAUUAGGAAACAGAGAAGAAAAUAACAAAAUAAAGAAACCCUUACCCAGAUGUUGAUUACCAAGAUGUUUGUUAAUCAUCUUGGGUCAGUUCUUGGUAGCCUGAUCUCUAGAUUUCAGAAUGGUUUUGUGCCUUCGCGCGCCAUUUCAGAUAAUAUUGUGAUUUCUCAUGAGACUUUGGAGUUCAUCCGGAAGAAAAGGAGUGGCAAGAAGUUUUUUGCGUUGAAGUUGGAUAUGGAUAAAGUGUAUGACAGAGUUAGCUGGGAUUUCUUGCUCAAUAUGGUUCGGGUUAUGGGUUUUAGUCAAAGGUGGGAAAAUUGGAUCAGAUCAGGCAAUGAUUUACCACGGUCUCCUUCUCUGUUGUGGUUAUUGCCAUUGGGAAUAGAUCAAGGUCGUUUGUACUGACUUGUGGGAUUCAUCAGGGAGAUCUUCUUUCGCCAUAUUUAUUUAUCCUGGUAGCUCAAGCACUUUCAGAUGGUCUAGCAGAGUUUGCCUCCAAUAAGGUGUGCAGGAGAGUUGCUGUAAGUCCUCGUUCUCCUUGCAUUUCACAUCUUUUGUUUGCGGACGACUGUUUUAUCUUUAUGGAAAAUGGUAUGGAUCAUGCUUGGUGUCUUAAACUGCUUCUUGAUAUUUAUUGUGACCAGGCGGGUCAGAAAAUCAAAUUUGUUAAGUCUAAGUUAUUUGUGAGUCCUAAUAUGCAGAUAAGGGAUGUGGAAUGGUUACAACGUAUUUUCGGUGUCAAAUGUGUUGAUAAACCUGGUAUUUACUUGGGGGCUAAUUUAGAUUUUACUUGUCAGAAAGGGAGUCUUUUUUCUCGUGUGAUGGAUCGGAUUCAAGUUAAGUAAUUGGAAGGCUCCUUUGUUACCUUUUGCGGCUAGAUUGGUUUUGGCUAAGCAUGUUAUGCUGACCAUACCCAUUUAUUUGCUUUUGGUGCUUCGAGCUCCUGUGUAUUUUAAAUAAGGUUAAAAGUGUUGUUACUCAGUUUUUUGUGGCAUGGUGAGAAGGACAAGGGUUUCGUAUAGCGGAAAUGGAAUAUUUGCUGUCUGCCUAAGAGUAAGAGUGGGUUAGGUUUGCGAGAUUUAGCUUGUUUGAAUCGGCGUUGCUCGCUAAGAUGGCUUGGAGGAUUUUUAAAAAUCCUGAUUCAUUGCUUUCAUCAGUUUUGCUGGAAAAUAUUGUUCUUGGAAUGAGUUUUUGGAUGGUAAAGCUGUUUCUAAUUCGUCAUGGGGCUGGAGAAGCAUUCUAUGGGGAGAGAAGCUGUUAAGAGAAGGAUUAAAAUGGAGAGUGGAUAGUGGGACUAAGAUAGAUAUCUUCAAGGCGGAAUGGAUCCCUAAACUCCAGAAUCCUUAUGCUGGAAGGGAUAUGUCUCAGCAUUUUAGUAGUUUUAAAGUGGCAGAUUUGUUUGAUCAGAGUUCUAGGGAGUGGCGAGCUCCUUUGAUUUCUAUGUUUUGUCUGAGAGAGGUAGCUCAGAAAAUUCUGGAGUGUAUGUACCAGUUUCUACUAUUGAGGAUGAGGUUACUUGGGAGCACACUAAAAAUGGCAUUUUUUCAGUCAAGUCGGCAUAUUUGUUUCAAUUUUCGAGAACUCAUGGUCAAGCUUUUGAGGAGGCUAAGAGUUUGUUUGGGCCAUGGGGGAAAGUUUGGGGUCUGGGUUUGCCGCCAAAGUUUUAGUUUUUCAUCUGGAAGGUUUUGCAUAGAAUUUUGGCUGUCAAGGAUGCUUUGCUUAGAAGGAAUAUUAGUGUUGAUCCGUGUUGUCCAUCGUGCGAUCAAAACUUGGAGAUGAUUGAGCAUUUGUUUCUCCAGUGCUGGUUUGCUAAGAGGUUGUGGAGGGCAUCACACUUGGGUUUUAACUUUGAUGUGGAAAUGCCAGUCUCGUUUGGGGUUUGGUUUGAUGGGUGGAUAUUGAUGGUGCCUCUUAAGUAGUUGAUUUGGGAUUCGGUUUUUACAUUGUGGUGUAUUUGGUGGUGCGUAAUGAUGCCUUAUUUCAAAGUGCUAAUUGGGAAUCGGUUAAUGUUUUCGAUAAUGCGUUGACCUGUUUUUCAGGUCACAGGAAUUUAUACAGGUCGGUUAAGAAGAAGUGUGGGUUUCAAGAUGUUCUUGAACCCGGAGCUGGCCAUGGGUCUGUCAUAAGGAGUCCCAAUUUGCAGUCUGUGUUCAAAUUUGCAGUUUGUGUUCAAAGGUGGAGAAAUGGAGGUGCUGGGCUUUAAGUUUUUUCUCACGUAUGGGGCUUGGCAUGCUAGUUCGGGUUGUGGGGUAAUGGCUUGGGUUCAGGUGGAUGAGGGUGGUCAAGAGGUGGCGCAUCAUGUAGCUAAAUGUAAUUCUUCUUCUGUGGUAUUGGUAGAGAUCGGACCUACUCACCUUGCUUGUAGACCAGCCUCGAUCUCUUGAUGAACUCUCGGCUGAGGCUGGUUUAUUGGUGCUGGAGUGGGCAUUACAGUGCGGUUUUUUGGAAGUUUGCAUCCGUGCUGAUUUUUGUGGCUUUUGUGAAGGGGCUUUUUGGGCCCGAAGAAGCUGACUGUUAUUUGCAAUCUGCUCUUAUGGACUUUUGUUCUUCAUGUACUUGUUUUAAUGUUGUAAAAGUAGUUAAGGUGGAUAGAAAUGUGGUUAAGCCUGCUCACGUAAAAGGCCAGGGCAGUUAUGUUGGAGGAAAAUGAUAUUGGCACUCCAAAAAUUGAUUCUGACAUUCCGAAAUCAGUAUAAUUCCAAAGCACUUUCUUUUAUUUUUUGGAGUGUUUGCAUCAAUUUUUGGAGUGUCAAUGGCUUUGUUCGGUUAAUCUUUUAGUUUUAGUUUAGUUUUUAAUCAUUACCUUAUUUUUUUUCUCUAAUCAA
Molecule: RNA transcript, 4748 nt
Organism: Rhododendron vialii
Lineage: Eukaryota; Viridiplantae; Streptophyta; Magnoliopsida; Ericales; Ericaceae
Gene name: serine/threonine-protein kinase ATG1t
Exons: 9
Source: RefSeq, a predicted model, not a curated record